Molecule: ribosomal RNA, 119 nt
Filed under: Triticum aestivum (bread wheat)
Lineage: Eukaryota; Viridiplantae; Streptophyta; Magnoliopsida; Poales; Poaceae
Source: RNAcentral
GGAUGCGAUCAUACCAGCACUAAAGCAUCGGAUCCCAUCAAAACUCCGAAGUUAAGCGUGCUUGGGCGAGAGUAGUACUAGGAUGGGUGACCUCCUGGGAAGUCCUCGUGUUGCAUUCC